AGCGAACGCUGGCGGCAGGCUUAACACAUGCAAGUCGAACGGCAAGGCAGUAAGUGCGUGGUCUUAUGGGUGGCCAGUCGGGGCCGUGCCAGGAGUACAACGUAACCUAGUUUUUCGUGUGGGAUCACGUAACGAGACCUACUCUCGGAACGUAUAUCACCUAGCGGUGUGGGCGCGGGAAAUUUUCGCCUUGUGGGAAUGAAUGCGCCGCUGUUCGACUAGCUAGUUGGGGGGUUAAUGGCCCACCAAGGCGACGGUCCGUAGCUGGUCUGAGAGGCUGGUCAGCCACACUGGAACUGAGACACGGUCCAGACUCCUGCGGGAGGCAGCAGUGGGGAAUAUUGGACAAUGGGCGCAAGCCUGAUCCAGCCAUACCGCGUGGGUGAAGAAGGCCUUCGGGUUGUAAAGCCCUUUUGUUGGGAAAGAAAAGCAGCAGGUUAAUACCCCGCUGUUCUGACGGUACCCAAAGAAUAAGCACCGGCUAACUUCGUG
RNAcentral lists this ribosomal RNA (492 nucleotides) under uncultured bacterium. RNAcentral's name for it is "partial 16S ribosomal RNA". It matches the Rfam family "Bacterial small subunit ribosomal RNA", at positions 29 to 507 of the family's 1533-position model. The record is from RNAcentral.